UAUGUGCCUGAAUAUUUCUCUGCAACAUAA
Molecule: non-coding RNA, 30 nt
Filed under: Mus musculus (house mouse)
Lineage: Eukaryota; Metazoa; Chordata; Mammalia; Rodentia; Muridae
Source: RNAcentral